GUGCCAGCCGCCGCGGUAAUACCGGCAGCUCGAGUGAUGUCCCAUAUUAUUGGGCCUAAAGCGUCCGUAGCUGGCCAAGCAAGUCCAUUGGGAAAUCUACGCGCUCAACGCGUGGGCGUCCGACGGAAACUGCACAGCUUGGGACCGGAAGGCUCGAAGGGUACGUUCGGGGUAGGAGUGAAAUCCCAUAAUCCCGCACGGACCACCGAUGGCGAAAGCACUUCGAGAAAACGGAUCCGACAGUGAGGGACGAAAGCCAGGGUCUCCAACCGGAUUAGAUACCCGAGUAGUCC
RNAcentral lists this ribosomal RNA (293 nucleotides) under uncultured bacterium. RNAcentral describes it as "partial 16S ribosomal RNA". It matches the Rfam family "Archaeal small subunit ribosomal RNA", at positions 455 to 747 of the family's 1478-position model. The record is from RNAcentral.